Molecule: ribosomal RNA, 381 nt
Filed under: uncultured microorganism
Description: bacterial SSU rRNA
Rfam family: Bacterial small subunit ribosomal RNA
Source: RNAcentral
GUGCACCAGGCGCGAAUCUUCCACAAUGGGGAAACCCUGAUGGAGCGACGCCGCGUGCGGGAUGAAGGCCCUAUGGGUUGUAAACCGCUGUUCAGUGGAAAGAACAUCCUCCGGCUGAAUAGGUCGGAGGCCUGACGUUACCACUGCAGAAAGUCCCGGCCAACUCCGUGCCAGCAGCCGCGGUAAUACGGGGGGGACGAGCGUUGUCCGGAAUCAUUGGGCGGUAAAGGGCGGCGUAGGCGGCGAGGAAAGUCAAAUGUGAAAUCUUGCGGGCUCAACUGCAAAACUAGCGUUCGAAACUUACCUCGCUUGAGUAUGAGAGAGGUGUGCGGAAUUCCUGGUGUGGCGGUGGAAUGCGUAGAUAUCAGGAGGAACACCGGU